GUCUUUCCCUAUGCCCUUGCGGUAACCUGAGCGGGGGGGUCAGGAGGCGGCCCGAGAACGCGCUGGUGGGCAGUGGCCCCGCCCUGGCCGGCGGGAGCCCGCUACCCUCCACCCUACCCCCCACGUUCGCGUUCUCAGAAUGGGGCCGGGUCUGCGCGCUCAGCUCCGCACAGAUCGGCCCUUUUCCUGCAUUUUAGAGGGUUGCCCGGGCACUAAGCCGGCCAACAUGGCAGUAGUCGUCCCUGCCCAGCCGGCGGCGUCUCGGGGAAAUAGUGGAGACGUCAGAAUGAAUGGACCUUGGAGAGGGGCACGGCGCCCCAAGGGAUCCCUCCUCCUCCCCGGCCCCCCCAGUGCGCGCACACGCGCUCUCCCAUACCUCCCCCGCCCUCCCCGCCAGCUCUUCCGGCUCCCCAGCCCUGCCCCCAGGGUAGGGGCAUCUCCCCGGGCGCUCACUCUGCAGAGUCUUGGCCGGAAGCGGAGGACCACACAACUGGGCUCGAUCUCCGUUUGUGACAACUCCUCCGCGAACUCUAAGCACGUGCUGGGAUCCAUCGAAUCCAAGGCAGUGAUGAAAGGCCCCUGAGGGCUCGACUUGAGUGCGGAGAUGGUGGUGGUCUGCUGCCCCGGCUGCCCCUGCUGCCAUAUCGAGGCCCGCGUUUUGAGCUCCAGGAACCUGAAGAUCGCGGCCCCUAUCACCACGUAGGUCACCACUGCCAACCACAGUUCCAAGAGAAUGGAUCUUUUCAUGAC
Molecule: long non-coding RNA, 750 nt
Organism: Gracilinanus agilis (Agile Gracile Mouse Opossum)
Lineage: Eukaryota; Metazoa; Chordata; Mammalia; Didelphimorphia; Didelphidae
Exons: 3
Source: RefSeq, a predicted model, not a curated record